Molecule: long non-coding RNA, 4280 nt
Organism: Dreissena polymorpha
Lineage: Eukaryota; Metazoa; Mollusca; Bivalvia; Myida; Dreissenidae
Exons: 2
Source: RefSeq, a predicted model, not a curated record
CUGAUAGUAUUCUUUGAAAAAAAAUCGAAGAAAAUGCUAAUUUUAGAAAUUCAACAGACAACAUUUUAGCAGAUGACAAAUUUCCCAGCAUGCAAAGGGCUAAAUGUGCUUACUGAAAACAUGGAAAAUACAACAGCUCGUUAAUGUCAUAUAACAACCAUGAAGUUAGAAACCAAAUAUUUAACGUGUAAGAAAUAUUCAGAUUAUUCAUACUUACUUUGUGGUCAGACUAAAAGAGAUUUUAUUUCAUGUCUCUAUUUGUUCUCAUUGAUGCUCUUAGCAUUGCAAUUAAUUUUACAUGGCUAGCGUUGUAUUUUCUGAGUCUUUGAAAAUGAACUAAAUACAAGUGAAUCAAAGAACAAUAAAGAUACUCACUGGAGCAAGAAAUACCACUUAUAUUUUAUUUUUAAUAUUUAAAGAUUCUAUGUAAAGAAGUAUAUAUAAAACGUAUCCUUAUUUAUUAAGUUGUUAUAUAACUGAACAAUUGUACUACCAGUCCAUGUAUGUGGAAGUAUACAUAAUGAAUGGAUGUAAUCUCAUAUAUUGUUACAUGCAUCAAAUUGGUUAUAAUCAAAUGUUAAAAUGAUUAUUAUAUGAAACACAAUGUAUAUGUUGAUUAUUGCAUGUGCUACAUGAAAACAAUCUGUUUUUAAGUCAACUGUAAUUACCAGUAAUCACUGUUUAAAGGGAAUUUUUUAUAUUUCCAAAAGUUUUAGAAGUAUUGUUAGGGGUCAUUUGUAUAAACAUGUAUUAAUUUUUUUAUGUUUGCACUAAUUUCAAAAAAAUACUUUCAUGUAGUUAUAAAAACAGGCCCAUGCAUCAUGCAAUGUGUUCCUCUGAUAUUGAUUUGAGUCGCAUUCUGAUAAAACAGGGUUUAAUGCUUAGGCUAAUCUCGGAUGGCACUUUACGCCUAAAUGGAUUUUUGCUAAGAAGAGAUUUUCUUAAAACAAAAACUACAAUAAACGCGGAAAGUGUCGUCCAUGAUUAACCUGUGUAGACUGCACAGGCUAUUUUGGGACGACACUCUCGGCAAAUGCAUUAAGCCCCUUUUUCACAGAUCGAGUCUAUUACACAACUCAUGCUAUAUAUGGGCUACGGCCAGUUGUGAUAUGCUUAAAGUACAGGGUUGUGAAUAAACUGCAGGUGUCCUUAUGAUUUUACUAUGACAUUAAUGCCCUAUAUAGUCAAUGGUAUAAUUGCAAUACAAUUGUUAUUAUACCAAUUUUCAUAAGCGUUGAAUAUUAAGUAUUGUAACUGUCUAAAGGGACUUUGGGCAUUUUUUUAAAACUUGUCAGUAAAUGCCUUAAAUUGCUAGAUGUUAACAACGGGACUGUAGAUUAUAAUGACAAGAAAAGAAUUUCAGAAAAAAACAACAGAAAAAUUAUUCACAGCAGGGUUUCAAUCAGUGUCCUUUGGAAUAAAAGGCUAAUGCCUAAACAACGAAGUCCUCCAAACUGUUAUAUAUUUACAGAUACCAGUAUUUUACACGAAGUGAUGCGCGUGUUGUAAAAAAAUUUACACAAAAAAAACACACAACAGAAUCAUUCCAAAUUAGUCAAUUCUUUCCAGUUUGUAACAUUUUAUAUUGUAUUAUUAAAUUUUUAGUGUUCUUUUCUUGUUUUAAUCUAUGACACAAAAAAAUGGAAAAUUUGGAUCAUUUUGACCAUCUGUGAAGUUCACAAGUCCCUUUAAAAAAAAUUGCGAAUUUCUCUCUAUUUUUGUCUUGAAAAUAGGAUAAACAAUCAUUUGCUCAGUUCUUUUUUAUCAAUAUUUAAGUUCAGCAUUUACCUAUUUUGUUAAGCGAUAUUGCAUUGCAACAUUCCAAUAUAAAUGUAUGGUGCUUUUUCUUGUUCUCCUAUUUGCAAGAGUUAAUAAGACUGUUAGGCUAUUUUGCAAUAUAAAUGUGAAGUUAAAUUGCUGGUAUUCAAUGAAUCCAGUUGUUUAACCUAUUUAUGCCUAGUGGACUCUCCCAUCCUUCUAAAUUGGAUCAAUUUAUUUCCAAAAUUAGGGAAGUCUAGUAUAUUUAUUUCCAAAUUUAGAAUUUUUCUUACAGAAAUUCCUUUAGGCAAACAGCUCAGACCCAGUUCAUGCGGCUUCUCAUCUGGGUCUACGCUGUUUGCCAAGGCCUUUUUUCUAGACGCUAGGCAUAAAUGGGUUAAAAUACUUGUAGUGGUUUACCAUGUUUUAAUGGUUGUUCUUUAUUUGUGAUUUCUAUGUCAAGUCCUUGUGUUAUCAGAGAUUGUAUGAUAUUAUACGGUAUUGCUUGGUUGUGAAACGGGACAGUUUUGACACAAUUUUUUGCCCAACUUAUUAUGCCCCCCUUCGAAGAAGAGGGGGUAUAUUGCUUUGCACAUGUCGGUCGGUCUGUCUGUCGGUCCAUCCACCAGGUUGUUUCCGGAUGAUAACUCAAGAACGCUUGGGCCUAGGAUUAUGAAACUUCAUAGAUACAUUGAUCAUGACUCGCAGAUGACCCCUACUGAUUUUGAGGUCACUAGGUCAAAGGUCAAGGUCACUGUGACCCGAAAUAGUAAAAUGGUUUCCGGAUGAUAACUCAAGAACGCUUAGGCCUAGGAUCAUGAAACUUGAUAUGUAGAUUGAUCUAGACUCGCAGAUGACCCCUAUUGACUUUCAGUUCACUAGGUCAAAGGUCAAGGUCACAGUGACCUGAAAUAGUAAAAUGGUUUCCGGAUGAUAACUCAAGAACGCUUAUGCCUAGGAUCAUGAAACUUAAUAGGUAGAUUGAUAAUAGCUGGCAGAUGACCCCUAUUGAUUUUCAGGUCACUAGUUCAAAGGUCAAGGUCACGGUGACCCGAAAUAGUAAAAUGGUUUCAGGAUGAUAACUGAAGAACGCAUAUGCCUAGGAUCAUGAAACUUCAUAGGUGCAUUGAUCAUGACUGGCAGAUGACCCCUAUUGAUUUUCAGGUCACAAGGUCAAAGGUCAAGGUCACGGUGACCCGAAAUAAUAAAAUGGUUUCCGGAUGAUAACUCAAGAACGCUUAUGCCUAGGAUCAUGAAACUUGAUAGGUAGAUUGAUCAUGACUCGCAGAUGACCCCUAUUGAUUUUCACGUAACUGUAUCAAGGGUCAAGGUCACGGUGACCUGAAAUAGUAAAAUGGUUUCCGAAUGAUAACUCAAGAACGCUAAUGGCUACGAUCAUAAAACUUCAUAGGUACAUUGAUCAUGACUGGCAGAUGACCCCUGUUGAUUUUGAGGUCACUAGGUCAAAGUUCAUGGUGACCCGAAAUAGUAAAAUGGUUUCCGGAUGAUAACUGAAGAACGCUUAUUCCGAGGAUCAUGAAACCUGAUAGGUAGAUUGAUCAUGACUCGCAGAUGACCCCUAUUGACUUUCAGGUCACAAGGUCAAAGGUCAAGGUCACGGUGACCCGAAAUAAUAAAAUGGUUUCCGGAUGAUAACUCAAGAACGCUUAUGCCUAGGAUCAUGAAACUUGAUAGGUAGAUUGAUCAUGACUCGCAGAUGACCCCUAUUGAUUUUCACGUAACUGUAUCAAGGGUCAAGGUCACAGUGACCUGAAAUAGUAAAAUGGUUUCCGAAUGAUAACUCAAGAACGCUAAUGGCUACGAUCAUAAAACUUCAUAGGUACAUUGAUCAUGACUGGCAGAUGACCCCUGUUGAUUUUGAGGUCACUAGGUCAAAGGUCAAGGUCAUGGCGACCCGAAAUAGUAAAAUGGUUUCCGGAUGAUAACUCAAGAACGCUUAUGCAUAGGAUCAUGAAACUUCAUAGGUACAUUGAUCAUGACUCGCAGAUGACCCGUAUUGAUUUUGAGGUCACUAGGUCAAAGGUCAAGUUCAUGGUGACCCGAAAUAGUAAAAUGGUUUCCGGAUGAUAACUGAAGAACGCUUAUUCCGAGGAUCAUGAAACCUGAUAGGUAGAUUGAUCAUGACUCGCAGAUGACCCCUAUUGAUUUUCAGGUCACUAGGUCAAAGGUCACGGUGACCCGAAAUAGUAAAAUGGUUUCCGGAUGAUAACUCAAGAACGCUUAUGGCUAGGAUCAUGAAACUUCAUAGGUACAUUGAUCAUGACUGGCAGAUGACCCCUAUUGAUUUUCAGGUCACUAGGUCAAAGGUCAAGGUCACAGUGACAAAAAACAUAUUCACACAAUGGCUGUCACAACAACGGAGAGCCCAUAUGGGGGGCAUGCAUGUUUUACAAACAGCCCUUGUUUUGUUAUGUAUUGGUGUUGUUUUCAAGUUUAAAGCUUGCUAUUUACAAUGUUAGCUCUAAUACGCUGAACAGUUAUUAAACGGAUAUUUUACUUGA